GGGGAAUAUUGGGCAAUGGGGGAAACCCUGACCCAGCAAUGCCGCGUGAGGGAAGAAGGUUCUCGGAUUGUAAACCUCUGUCCCAAGGGACGAAAGAAAUGACGGUACCUUGGGAGGAAGCCCCGGCUAACUACGUGCCAGCAGCCGCGGUAAUACGUAGGGGGCAAGCGUUGUCCGGAAUAACUGGGCGUAAAGGGCGCGUAGGCGGCCUGUUAAGUCAGAUGUGAAAGACCACUGCUCAACGGUGGGAUUGCAUUUGAAACUGAUGGGCUGGAGUGCAGGAGAGGAAAGUGGAAUUCCCGGUGUAGCGGUGGAAUGCGUAGAGAUCGGGAGGAACACCAGUGGCGAAGGCGACUUUCUGGACUGUAACUGACGCUGAGGCGCGAAAGCGUGGGGAGCAAAC
This 403-nucleotide ribosomal RNA is filed under the name uncultured bacterium. RNAcentral's name for it is "bacterial SSU rRNA". It matches the Rfam family "Bacterial small subunit ribosomal RNA", at positions 356 to 773 of the family's 1533-position model. The record is from RNAcentral.